CCAAAAUCCGUUUAGACAAUGCUAGGAUGUGAUGGGGAAGCCCUUCGGGGCGAAGUAGCUGAUUUCACACUGUCAAGAAAAGCUUCUAUCGAGUUUAAAGGCGCCCGUACCGUAAACCGACACAGGUGGGUGAGGAGAGUAUCCUAAGGCCAGCGAGAGAACUAUUGUUAAGGAACUCGGCAAAAUGACCCCGUAACUUAGGGAGAAGGGGUGCCUGUCUAUGACAGGCCGCAGAGAAUAGGCCCAAGCGACUGUUUACCAAAAACACAGGUUUCUGCUAAGUCGCAAGACGAUGUAUAGGAGCUGACGCCUGCCCGGUGCUGGAAGGUUAAGGGGAUCUGUUAGAGCAAUCGAAGCAGUGAACUUAAGCCCCAGUAAACGGCGGCCGUGACUAUAACGGUCCUAAGGUAGCGAAAUUCCUUGUCGGGUAAGUUCCGACCCGCACGAAAGGCGUAACGAUUUGGGCACUGUCUCAACAAUAGACUCGGUGAAAUUGUAAUCCCGGUGAAGAUGCCGGGUACCUGCGACAGGACGGAAAGACCCCAUGGAGCUUUACUGUAGCUUGACGUUGGGUCUUGGUACUACAUGUACAGGAUAGGUGGGAGACUAUGAAGCAUGGACGCCAGUCUGUGUGGAGUCAUCCUUGGGAUACCACCCUUGUAGUACUGGGAUCCUAACCAUAGGCCUUGAAUCAGGUCUUGGAACACCGUCAGGUGGGCAGUUUGACUGGGGCGGUCGCCUCCUAAAAAGUAACGGAGGCGCUCAAAGGUUUCCUCAGCACGGUCGGAAAUCGUGCGAAGAGUGUAAAGGCAAAAGGAAGCUUGAUUGCAAGACAUACAGGUCGAGCAAGGACGAAAGUCGGACUUAGUGAUCCGGUGGUACCGCAUGGAAGGGCCAUCGCUCAACGGAUAAAAGCUACCCUGGGGAUAACAGGCUUAUCUCCCCCAAGAGUCCACAUCGACGGGGAGGUUUGGCACCUCGAUGUCGGCUCAUCACAUCCUGGGGCUGUAGUAGGUCCCAAGGGUUGGGCUGUUCGCCCAUUAAAGUGGUACGCGAGCUGGGUUCAGAACGUCGUGAGACAGUUCGGUCCCUAUCCGUCGCAGGCGUAGGAAAUUUGAGAAGACCUGUCCUUAGUACGAGAGGACCGGGAUGGACGCACCUCUGGUGUACCAGUUGUUCUGCCAAGGGCAUGGCUGGGUAGCUAUGUACGGAAUGGAUAAGCGCUGAAAGCAUCUAAGCGCGAAGCCAACUUCAAGAUAAGAUUUCCCACCGUAAGGGUAAGACCCCAGGAAGACUACCUGGUUGAUAGGUCGAAGGUGUAAGUGCAGUAAUGUAUUUAGCUUAUCGAUACUAAUAGGUCGAGGACUUGAUC
This 1372-nucleotide ribosomal RNA is filed under the name metagenome. Its description in RNAcentral is "bacterial LSU rRNA". It matches the Rfam family "Bacterial large subunit ribosomal RNA", at positions 1536 to 2925 of the family's 2925-position model. The record is from RNAcentral.